Molecule: long non-coding RNA, 4609 nt
Organism: Passer domesticus (house sparrow)
Lineage: Eukaryota; Metazoa; Chordata; Aves; Passeriformes; Passeridae
Exons: 5
Source: RefSeq, a predicted model, not a curated record
GGACACCUUCUCUAUGGACCCAGGACCUAAUGCUUUUUCAGUCCAUACUGAAUGGAAAACUGUCAGGAAAGUGCUUCUCAGGUGACAGGAGAAGGUGAAGACUGUCAUGAUCCCUUAACCAGGCAUUUCACAAUUGCAGUCUUCAGACAGGACUCAGAUCGAUGUGACCAAAAGGCAGUGGCACACAAUCCCAGGGGCCUUAGUCUCUGAAGCUGAAUGCUGUGGUUCAGCAUGGAAUGAUUGCUGCACUUGAUUUCAGAGCUGCAGGAGAGGAGGAUUCUCUGCAAGGCUUCAGCUGCCAUGCAGCCUCCGAGUCCUGAUGCUGUGAUAGAUGCCCAGUGCAUGCACCAGUGAGUCCUGCUGUGAGCUGGGCUGCCCCUGUGAGGCUCCUCUGGGGCUGAUGCUCAGAGGCUGAUAUCAUCGUGCUGGAACCAGGCUUUGCGGCGACAUGCUUCUCCCUCCCUCUGGCAUCCAGCUCGCCCUGGCCACAUGUGCAGCCCCGGCCACGACCUCGGCCUUGGCUGGGCUCUGAUGGCCCAUUUAACAGUCACAGGCUGGAGAGGGAGUUGCUGCUAUUUUUAACCAGCUGGACAGUUAAAUAAUUCAGAGGCAGACACACACAGAGUGGUCUGGGCUGUGCCUGGGAUCUGGGAGGGGAGAGGAGCAUUGUAUCGACCCUGCUGGGCUUGCUUGACCUUAUCAAGCAUGGGUUCUCAGGCUCUUUAACACAAACACAAAACAAAAACUAAACUUUCAAAAGUGAAAUCCCUGCCUCACUGACGUCAAUGGGACUCCUGGCUCUGACUGCAGUGGAGCCUGGAUCACACUUAGCUGCAAGGCAAGAACUGUUCAGUAUUUCCUUGCUUUCUAAUGCUGCAGAACUCUUUUUCCAUGACAAACUUAUGGUGAGUAGAGUCCAGAAUGGGAAGUGUCAAAAUUUCUGAGGGAAAAAAGGACUACUUUUAAGAAAUCUCUUUCGAAACAGGAUGUCCCAUGUAUGGCUACUCCCCCUAUUUCAGACUAAGAAGAAAUGUACAGAAAAGUAUUUUCUCCCAUCUCUCCAGCCCAAUCCCCCCCCAGCUGUCCUGUGGAGUGGUCCACAGCUCAGUGGAAGGCUGACCCUCUCAGGGAUGCCAGGGAGAGCACAAAACCUGCCAGCAAACCUGCUCCAGCACAGAAUUCCCACGAGGUCAUAGCCUCCUUUGGGCAUCCCCCUGCUCCAGUGUUGGGUCUUCCCCAGGCUACAGGUGACUAUCUGCUCCACCAUGGACCUUUCCAGGCUGCAUGUGAACAGCCUGCCUCACCAUGGGCAUCAUUCAUUAUGGGAUGCAGGGGAAUUUCUACUCCAGUGCCUGGAGCGCCUCCUCCCCUUUCACUGACCUUGGUGCCUGCAGGGCUGUUUCUCUUGCUUCUUUCUCCAGCUGCAGUUGCACAGGCACUCCCACCCCCAUCCCCUCCCCACCACCCCUUUUUAAAUCCCCAGUCUCAGAGGCUUUACACUGGUGCUGAUGGGCUGGGCCUUGGCCAUUGGUGGGUCCGUCUUGGAGCCAGCUGGCUCUGACUCUGUGGGACAUAGGCAGCUCCUCACAGAACCCACCUCUGUAGCCCCCCUGCCACCAAAACCUUGUCAUGCAAACCCAGUACACUUGUCUUUCAAAUAAAAGGUACAAACUCAGUCUUUAGGCACGAUGGAAUCCACAGAGGAGCUCAACUUUGAAAGACAAAUGCUCAGCAAACCAGGCUUCACUGAUCCUGCUGUUAAUAGGGCUGCUUGUUUCCUUUGAUUCCUGUGUGUUAGCUCAGCUGUGUUUUGGGACCGAACAAGAUCUUUCCACUAGUUCAAUUUCAAACACGUGGUAAAUGACUCUGUGCCUGGAGCACCCAAGGUUCCCGGGUGGUCUCUGUGCAGACACCAGAGCUGUUCCUGCUGCCGAGAUCAGGCAAAACACAGCUCCCUGUUCCAGCAUAGCCAGCGCUCGCCAGAGCCCGGAUGAUGCCGAGAGGAGGAGGAGGAGGAGGAGGAGGAAGAGGAGGAGGAGGUUGCGAGUCCCUUGUGCCUUCCACACUUAAGGUUCUCGCCACGACCCAAAUCAUCACGACAUUCACUAGCAGAGGCGUGUGAAGUCUUGUUAAAAGAAUGUGGCUUGUGAUGAUGCUCGGUGGCUCGAAUGAAUAAUUUGUGGCCAGGGUGACUCAGGCAGCACGGGCUGGCAGCCAGGAGCGGGCAGAGGAGCCAGGGGCUCGCUCAGCAGCACGUCUGGACAGCGUGUGCUGGGAGCACGGCGUGUCUGAAAGGCCAGCUGCGUAACCCGUGGGAGGCCCACAUCUUCCUGAGAGCCCAUCAGGAGAGUACCAGCAAGGAAAAGGAAUUUGGCCUCAGAAGUGUGUUUUUCUAGCCAAAAAGUAUAGGCAAGUGGGUGGGGAGACUGGGCAUCAGAGUGACGUUUGCAAAUGGAAGUGACAGUGCACUUGGAAAAUGUGACUCUGGGUUUAUCCUCACUUCUCUACAACUGAGUGAUGCCUGUCUGUCCUUCCUUCUGAGCUUCACGAAGACAUUCCCUUGGGAGGCAAAACCCUGCCUGUUUGACAAUGCAUGCAAAAUAGGAUGCCAUGCCCUGUACCGUGCGGAAGUUCAAUUUUCAGAUAAUACAGAAUUGGGAUGUCUUAUCUAAUACUGCUGGCAGGCUCUCCUGAGAGUCCGCACAGCAAAUUUUACCUGCUUAGUAUGGUGAAUUUAAAUCACCAGAGCCACACCGGCAAAACUCUCCUGUGCAGAACCUCAUUCUGGUCUAAGGUCCUUGAGUAAUUAUUCUGUAAUAAAGUCACUUAAAUUUUAGAAUAGAAUGUCCAUGUGGAGAAGUUAUACAGGCACAGCUAUAACAGGAUAAUUAUUUUGUUAUAGCUAUGUCAGUCAAUUUCUCAAGGCAUCAGUCACAUGGGAAAGUUGAAAUUAUGUAUUUUUUACAGUCUACAGCAAUUCUUUAUUUUUUAAUGUCCAUUAGUGCUUGACUAAUGCUGAAUGAUAGUGGAAAUUCUCCAGAACAAAGACAGUGCUCAGAGUUUCCUCGUGGUUAUCAAAGGAAUUUGGAUCUAUUCUAGUAAAACUAAUAUGUAAUGAAUUGGCAGUGAUUGGGGGUUUAUAGCUGAAUUGACGGGGAAUUAUGAAACCACAGUUUACUAAAUUCAACUGAAACAGCUGAAACUCAGAAAUUUGUGAAGUCCCUAUUUAUGUGUUAAGAGUUCUCAAGAUUUUUUAAAAGUACACACAAAACCAGAUUAAGACACAAAAUUCUCUUAUUCCCACACAGUGUUGGAUGUUUCACAUUUCAACACAGGACUUUAUGACUAACCAUACCAAUUUUGGGGGUGUCUGAAACAGUUUAGUUCCUGAGUAAGUUGUUGCAAAGUCUAUUCAUUAUGAUUCAUUAUUAACUGUGGUGAAGACAGUCCUUUAGGAUCAAACUGUACCUGUCAAGGACAAUGGCAUAUAUGAGCUUUCUAUGGAGAUAUGCCAGAGCUGGCUUGAGUCUGGAGAUUAAAGCACAGCAGGAAUUAGGAGCCUGGCUCCCCUCAGAGCUGCGUGUUGAAAUGCUGGAUGGAGCAAACAGGUGCCAACUGAAUUUGUCACAGUCACAUCUGAAUUUGAGCUGAAGAGUCACCAGAACAGGGAAGGCAAAAAAUCUCAGUGCACAUGAAUGCACCGUGUAGCUCCUGCACGCCAGGCUGGGCACACAGCGAGCUGCCAGGGGAGCUGGGGCUUCUGCACAGGCAAGCAGACCUGGUACGGGCUUAAUAGAAAGCAUGACUCAAAAUGAAACCUGCCCAUGGCUGUCAGCUGUCUCGCAGCAAAACAGUACCUAAUUACAUGUAUUACAUCUCCCUUCCUGGAAAGGGGGUGGCUUUGAGGUGGAGGAUGCCAACGUGCAUAUCCAAGUGGAGAAGCCAGCUGGGAGGAGCACAGGGGCAAGGACAGAGCGUGGUGUGUAAGGCCACAGCUGCAGGCACAUUUGGGUGUGUGGAUGGCUUCUUGGUCCUGUCGGUGUCUCCUUGGGCACAGCCCAUCCGUGCCAAGGAUGCUCCUCUGUCACUGUCUCCCAGUAUCACCCCGCCAGAAGGAAAGGGCUCUCCUAACUCAGCACUUCUUGUUGUCACACCAGCCCUGCUAGAUUUGGUAGGGUAGACCACCUCAUUUUCAUUUCAGUUGAUCUCCAUACAUUCACCUCUUUGGUUCUUUAUCUGAAUUUGGGUUUUUUAGGGGAGGGGGCAAGGCCCAUUUUGCACAGGACACAAGGAUAAAAAAGGACAUAUCUUUCCAGGGCUGCAACACAAAGGUUUAAUCAUGUUUCAGAAUAACUGGAGUUAUAAACUGAUGGGGCAUUUAAAAUGUUAUCUAUUUCCAAACAUCAAAUGUUCAAAUUCUGCCUUAAGGGGACAUUAGCUGAUUAUCAAAUCACAAUGAGAUUCUUAUAACUUUAUUUUAAUAAACAGUUUUCAUAAAUGUUAACAUUUUAAUGGAUGAUUACAUUCAUAUUUAGCUAGCAGAUGCAUUCAUGUUGAUUGAUGUUAUUUCCGCGAAUACCAAAGGAAUUAAAUAAUGACUUGUCACUUA